AUUUUGAAGAGCGCAACCAAAUUUAAGCAAAACUAGUGGUUUGUUUUUGUUUGUUUUUUAAAAUGUGUUACAUAUUUCAAAUAAAUGGAAUAGAGGAUAACGAAAUAAGAUACGUCUCUUUUUUUCCUUCGCUUAGGGCGUUUGGUUCAGCUAUCCAAAACUAUACAUCUUGAAUCACUUGUUAGUCAUCCAAGAACUGCCACAUUACCUAGCAGCAAACAGAUAUUUGAAGCUGCUGGUGCCUCUGGAGUUCCACGGACAUCAAGGUGUAGCGUCCUCCAGAGUCUUGCAACUGUGCAUAAACCUUCUAUUCAGCCACCACUAACCAAAGCUCACAAGCAGAAAUAACUGCAUUGGGCAUAAAAAUACAUGAAGACUAAUUUUCAAACAGUCCUGUUCACUGAUGAGUGCCGUGCAACCCUGCAUGGUCCAGAUGGAUGGAGUAGUGGAUGGCUGGUGGAUGGCUACCCUGUUCCAACAAGGCUGCGACGUCAGCAAGGAGGUGGUGGAGUGAUUUUUUGGGCCGGAAUCAUGGGAAGAGAGCUGGUUGGCCCCUCUAGGGUCCCCGAAGGUGUAAAGAUG
Pelobates cultripes (western spadefoot toad) is the source of this 582-nucleotide non-coding RNA. NCBI's taxonomy places the organism in Eukaryota, Metazoa, Chordata, Amphibia, Anura, Pelobatidae. The record is from the annotation of a GenBank genome assembly.